CCUACGGGAGGCAGCAGUGGGGAAUCUUCCGCAAUGGGCGCAAGCCUGACGGAGCAACGCCGCGUGAGUGAAGAAGGGUUUCGACUCGUAAAGCUCUGUUGUCGGGGACGAAUGUGGAGAUGGUGAAUAACCAUUUUCAAUGACGGUACCUGACGAGGAAGCACCGGCUAACUCCGUGC
This 179-nucleotide ribosomal RNA is filed under the name uncultured bacterium. RNAcentral's name for it is "partial 16S ribosomal RNA". It matches the Rfam family "Bacterial small subunit ribosomal RNA", at positions 338 to 508 of the family's 1533-position model. The record is from RNAcentral.